CAAAGAUUAGGUCUAUUCAUUCUUUCUAACUAUUUUGUGUACCUUUUAAAAUUGAGGUUCAAAAGGAAGUUGUAAUGGUUUCAAAACAAUUGAGAUCAGGGAUCUCUAAAUGGGGCUUUGAGGCACCGGGAAACAUACCCUUACCCUAACCUGCAAAUGGGACUCUGAGAAUGUAAAUGCUUAGGUCAAGUUACCAACUAAAUAACAAAGGCUAAGCCCAGAUAUCAGUUCUAUAAUUUGAGGUGCCCCCACCAUUAUUUUCUCUUGAUCCUCAAGUUUCUUACUCUUUUUACUCAUUUCAAUAUUGUCCAGCUGUAGAUGAAUUCUAUUUUUAGAAGUUAGUGUGGUUACAUUUAAACCUAAUUUUCAAACUGACUUGCUUGAGAUCCAAAGCACAUUUUUAAGCGUCAGAGCUCUAGGAACAGAAAAUAGCAUCCCUGGGAUGACAGGAAGGAUGCCCUGUGCCUGGAGGAGGUCUCUCUCCAGGAUUCAGCACACCGUGGAGCUGUGGGAAGUGUGUUAUCUCUGUCAUGAGAGAGAAAGGAGUGGCUGGCUCAGCAAGAUUAGAGCCUCUCUCUGGAUUGUUCCUCAGAACCAGAAGAACUGUGUGGAGUGGCAGCAACUGGAGGAAGCAGAAUGUCCCCGAGCAAGAUUGUCAAGAGAAAAAAGUUACAUGUAUAAAAUCUACAGUAGAAUUGGAAGAUGGAUCUAAUGAGAAUAACACUAAGGAAACACCAUCCUUCAAAAACUAAAAGCUCCUUGAUGAGGACAAGAAAAUGAAGUGUCCCAGAAGAGGAAAUGCAGUAAGUGUUGGGGAUAAAAAGAAGGUUAGAAAGCGAACAAUUUCAGAAGGGAAGAAAUGACCUCUAAAAGGGAAGCUGGGAUGAUAGCAAAGGCAAUGUCAACGUCCUCACAAUUUCACUUAGAUUUUCCUGGCUACUCUGCAGAAGGCAUGAUAAGAUAAAUGCUUAUUGAUUUCAAGAUCAAGGCAACAGGAUCCUUUCUGUUUAAUUAUUUCUUUGUAAGUUAAAAACUAAAUGCUUUGGCAAGUGCUGUAAAUACAAAGGGCAGGGGUAUUCAGUGCCCUUAGAAUCAAUGGCAAGUUCAAGCUGUGUGUGACAAGGGAUAACCAUUAUUCAUCCAUUCAUUCUAACAAAGUCUGUAAAUGACUACCAUGCAUUAGGUGAUGGUCUGGUCACUGAAAUAUCAGAGACAGGUAAAGCUCAGUCUCUGUUCUUAAGGACCUCAGGGUUUAGAAGAAGAAAAAGACAUAUAAGUAAGUACAAUAGAAAUAUAAACAAGAACCAAAGGUAGCUCAGGGGAAGUGAGUAACUCUUAGAGGAAAAUAUUAAAUAAAGGAUUUCUGGAUGAGAGGAUGUUUGAACUGAAUUCUGAAGAUGAAUAAAAGUCCUUCUGGAGAAAUAAAAACACCAUUUUGGCAGAAAUAAUAGUAUAUGUGAAUACAUUUAGAACAAAGCAUGGAAACUAUGUUUAGGAUAUUGUCAUAAGCUUGGUAUCUUUAGAGCAUUUUGUGUAAGUGGUGAGGGGAGAAAAUGGGAGGAGAUAAAAAACGUAAACGUAGGGUAGGGUAGAUUAUGAAUGGAUAGAAAUGUCUCUUAAAGCAUCUGAACUAUACCCAAAUGCCUAGGAGGAGAA
RNAcentral lists this long non-coding RNA (1656 nucleotides) under Homo sapiens (human). RNAcentral's name for it is "HSALNT0052509". The record is from RNAcentral. Lineage: Eukaryota; Metazoa; Chordata; Mammalia; Primates; Hominidae.